Molecule: ribosomal RNA, 101 nt
Filed under: Clostridioides difficile
Lineage: Bacteria; Bacillati; Bacillota; Clostridia; Peptostreptococcales; Peptostreptococcaceae
Source: RNAcentral
UAAUAGCGGAGAAGAUACACCUGUUUCCAUUCCGAACACAGAAGUUAAGUUCUCUAGCGCUGAUGGUACUUGGUGGGAAACUGCCUGGGAGAGUAGGACAU